Molecule: ribosomal RNA, 508 nt
Filed under: bacterium enrichment culture clone ALO1_GLFRUDD03FNHF8
Lineage: Bacteria
Description: bacterial SSU rRNA
Rfam family: Bacterial small subunit ribosomal RNA
Source: RNAcentral
GAGUUUGAUCGUGGCUCAGAUUGAACGCUGGCGGCAUGCCUUACACAUGCAAGUCGAACGGCAGCACGGGAGCUUGCUCCUGGUGGCGAGUGGCGAACGGGUGAGUAAUGCAUCGGAACGUAUCCUGGAGUGGGGGAUAACGUAGCGAAAGUUACGCUAAUACCGCAUACGUCCUACGGGAGAAAGCAGGGGACCUUCGGGCCUUGCGCUAUCAGAUGAGCCUAGGUCGGAUUAGCUAGUUGGUGGGGUAAUGGCUCACCAAGGCGACGAUCCGUAACUGGUCUGAGAGGAUGAUCAGUCACACUGGAACUGAGACACGGUCCAGACUCCUACGGGAGGCAGCAGUGGGGAAUAUUGGACAAUGGGCGAAAGCCUGAUCCAGCCAUGCCGCGUGUGUGAAGAAGGUCUUCGGAUUGUAAAGCACUUUAAGUUGGAGGAAGGGCAGUAAGUUAAUACCUUGCUGUUUGACGUUACGACAGAAUAAGCACCGGCUAACUCUGUGCCAGCC